AUCGUAAUUGAAGAGGUUUGGAAAGACCCACCACAGAAGGUAAUAGUCCUGUAUGUUAAACGAGAAGACUUUAGAUAUGAUCCAGAGUACCACGGGACACGUGAAACCCUGUGGGAAGCAGGAGGGACCACCCUCCAAGGCUAAAUACUACCUAGUGACCGAUAGCGUAUAGUACCGUGAGGGAAAGGUGAAAAGAACCCCGGGAGGGGAGUGAAAUAGAACCUGAAACCCUGCACUUACAAGCUGUGGAAGCACAUUUCUUGUGUGACCGCGUACUUUUUGUAGAACGGGCCAACGAGUUACGUUAAGUAGCAAGGUUAAGCACUUAAGGUGCGGAGCCGUAGCGAAAGCGAGUUUUAACUGAGCGUUCAGUUACUUGACGUAGACCCGAAACCGGGCGACCUACCCAUGAGCAGGAUGAAGCGAAAGUAAAAUUUCGUGGAGGUCCGAACCCACGAGCGUUGAAAAGCUCGGGGAUGACUUGUGGGUAGCGGUGAAAUUCCAAUCGAGCCCGGAGAUAGCUGGUUCUCCCCGAAAUAGCUUUAGGGCUAGCCUCAAGGUGAGAGAUACGGAGGUAGAGCACUGAAUGUCCUAGGGGGUAUUGCACCUACCGAAGACUAUCAAACUCCGAAUGCCGUCAUCUUAUACUUGGGAGUCAGACUGUGGGUGAUAAGAUUCAUAGUCGAAAGGGCAACAGCCCAGAUCGUCAGCUAAGGUCCCUAAAUGUAAGUUAAGUGGUAAAGGAUGUGGGAUUGCACAGACAACCAGGAUGUUGGCUUAGAAGCAGCCACUCAUUCAAAGAGUGCGUAAUAGCUCACUGGUCGAGUGAUCCUGCGCCGAAGAUUUCCGGGGCUAAAACUUACUACCGAAGCUACGGCAUCAGUAAUGAUGGGUAGGGGAGCUUCCCAUACGGGUUGAAGCAUGACCGUAAGGACAUGUGGACAGUAUGGGAGUGAGAAUGUUGGCAUGAGUAGCGAGAUGUGGGUGAGAAUCCCACAGGCCGUAAACCCAAGGUUUCCAGGGGAAGGUUCGUCCGCCCUGGGUUAGUCGGGACCUAAGCUGAGGCCGAAAGGCGUAGGUGAUGGACAACAGGUUGAUAUUCCUGUAC
Molecule: ribosomal RNA, 1108 nt
Filed under: Clostridioides difficile
Lineage: Bacteria; Bacillati; Bacillota; Clostridia; Peptostreptococcales; Peptostreptococcaceae
Description: partial 23S ribosomal RNA
Rfam family: Bacterial large subunit ribosomal RNA
Source: RNAcentral